Molecule: ribosomal RNA, 464 nt
Filed under: uncultured bacterium
Lineage: Bacteria
Description: partial 16S ribosomal RNA
Rfam family: Bacterial small subunit ribosomal RNA
Source: RNAcentral
CUACGGGUGGCACCAGUGGGGAAUUUUGGACAAUGGGGGCAACCCUGAUCCAGCCAUGCCGCGUGAGUGAAGAAGGCCUUCGGGUUGUAAAGCUCUUUCAGCCGGGAAGAAAUCGCAUGGGUUAAUACCCUGUGCGGAUGACGGUACCGGAAUAAGAAGCACCGGCAACUACGUGCCAGCAGCCGCGGUGAAUACGUAGGGUGCGAGCGUUAAUCGGAAUUACUGGGCGUAAAGCGUGCGCAGGCGGAUGCUUAAGUCAGAUGUGAAAUCCCCGGGCUUAACCUGGGAAUUGCAUUUGAAACUGGGUGUCUAGAGUGCGUCAGAGGGGGGUGGAAUUCCACGUGUAGCAGUGAAAUGCGUAGAUAUGUGGGGGAACACCAAUGGCGAAGGCAGCCCCCUGGGAUGACACUGACGCUCAUGCACGAAAGCGUGGGGAGCAAACAGGAUUAGAUACCCUUGUAGUC